This 468-nucleotide ribosomal RNA is filed under the name uncultured bacterium. Its description in RNAcentral is "partial 16S ribosomal RNA". It matches the Rfam family "Bacterial small subunit ribosomal RNA", at positions 28 to 507 of the family's 1533-position model. The record is from RNAcentral.
GACGAACGCUGGCGGCGUGCUUAACACAUGCAAGUCGAACGGAAAGGCCCUGCUUUUGUGGGGUGCUCGAGUGGCGAACGGGUGAGUAACACGUGAGUAACCUGCCCUUGACUUUGGGAUAACUUCAGGAAACUGGGGCUAAUACCGGAUAGGAGACCCUGCUGCAUGGUGGGGGUUGGAAAGUUUCGGCGGUUGGGGAUGGACUCGCGGCUUAUCAGCUUGUUGGUGGGGUAGUGGCUUACCAAGGCUUUGACGGGUAGCCGGCCUGAGAGGGUGACCGGCCACAUUGGGACUGAGAGACGGCCCAGACUCCUACGGGAGGCAGCAGUGGGGAAUAUUGCACAAUGGGCGGAAGCCUGAUGCAGCAACGCCGCGGGCGGGAUGACGGCCUUCGGGUUGUAAACCGCUUUCGCCUGUGACGAAGCGUGAGUGACGGUAAUGGGUAAAGAAGCACCGGCUAACUACGUG